AGGAAGUAAAAGUCGUAACAAGGUUUCCGUAGGUGAACCUGCGGAAGGAUCAUUACUGAACGCACUCGAAUCCGAGUUUGACACGCAAGAGGCAAGGGGGCAAAGCGACCGCGGAUCGGGCACCGGCCGCCCACCGGUUUUCAAAGACUCGCGCCCGAUCCGGACGGCUGAGAAAUACCCUGUCGGUAUCCUGCCGCGGGGAAACGCUUUCUAUUUCCAAACCGAAAAAACGAAUGGAAAUCCUAAACGGUGGAUCACUCGGCUCGUGGAUCGAUGAAGGACGCAGCAAACUGCGCGUCGAAUUGUGAACUGCAGGACACAUGAACAUCGACGCUUCGAACGCACAUUGCAGCCCACGGAUUCUGUUCCCGGGCUACGCCUGGCUGAGGGCCGGCUAUCGAGUUCACCGACGAUUCUAGUCGCCGGCGAUUUGGGCCGGGGGCGCUCCCCGAGACAGCGGGAGGGACCCGGGCCCGUCUCGAACCGAGGGCGCACGCGGUCGGACUCGUCGUCCACCGCCGCCGAGACGCUUCGUUUUCCGAGGAGACGGCGUCCACUGGCGGUGGGGCGACGGCGGGGCGACCGUCGGGCGUGCGCCCGCGCAAAGCGAAAAAAAACACGCCGACCUCAGAGCAGGUGAGACCACCCGCUGAAUUUAAGCAUAUUAAUAAGCGGAGGAAAAGAAACUAACCAG
Molecule: ribosomal RNA, 694 nt
Filed under: Devadatta argyoides
Lineage: Eukaryota; Metazoa; Arthropoda; Insecta; Odonata; Devadattidae
Description: eukaryotic LSU rRNA
Rfam family: 5.8S ribosomal RNA (bases 239-393)
Source: RNAcentral